GGUCACAGUAGCAGUAACAGCGCAUUUUUCGUCCAUCGGUAAACUGACUACCCCUAAAGGCAGUAGCUGGGACGUUGCAGUCAACAGCCAUGGACGCCUUGGACAAAAAUAUUAGUGAAUAAGAAAAGUGAAAGUGAAGGGAAGUGAAAUUAGUGAUGUGACUUAAAUAAAUGAACGAGAGGGA
Molecule: long non-coding RNA, 184 nt
Organism: Penaeus chinensis
Lineage: Eukaryota; Metazoa; Arthropoda; Malacostraca; Decapoda; Penaeidae
Exons: 2
Source: RefSeq, a predicted model, not a curated record